Molecule: regulatory RNA element, 34 nt
Organism: Pedobacter steynii
Lineage: Bacteria; Pseudomonadati; Bacteroidota; Sphingobacteriia; Sphingobacteriales; Sphingobacteriaceae
Rfam family: DUF805b RNA
About the family: Bacteroidetes, Chlorobi (1 example), Proteobacteria. Lineage (Flavobacteria)
Source: Rfam
UAAGGGAUGCCGAAAACCUUGAAAAGAGUAGGAA